GCAUCAUUAGUUUAGUGGUAAAAUAUCUGCCUUCCAAGCAGAUGUCCCGAGUUCGAUUCCCGGAUGAUGCA
Molecule: transfer RNA, 71 nt
Organism: Fragilariopsis cylindrus CCMP1102
Lineage: Eukaryota; Bacillariophyta; Bacillariophyceae; Bacillariales; Bacillariaceae
Rfam family: tRNA
About the family: Transfer RNA (tRNA) molecules are approximately 80 nucleotides in length. Their secondary structure includes four short double-helical elements and three loops (D, anti-codon, and T loops).
Source: Rfam